Molecule: ribosomal RNA, 521 nt
Filed under: uncultured bacterium
Lineage: Bacteria
Description: bacterial SSU rRNA
Rfam family: Bacterial small subunit ribosomal RNA
Source: RNAcentral
UCAGGACGAACGCUGGCGGCGUGCCUAAUACAUGCAAGUCGAACGGUCUUUCUAUGGAAGCUUGCUCCACUGAAAAGAUAGUGGCGAACGGGUGAGUAACACGUGGGUAACCUGCCCAUAAGAGGGGGGAUAACAUCCGGAAACGGGUGCUAAUACCGCAUAGUUUUCUUGAUCGCAUGAUCGGGAAAGGAAAGACGGCCUUUGUGCUGUCGCUUAUGGAUGGACCCGCGGCGUAUUAGUUAGUUGGUGAGGUAACGGCACACCAAGACGAUGAUACGUAGCCGACCUGAGAGGGUGAUCGGCCACAUUGGGACUGAGACACGGCCCAAACUCCUACGGGAGGCAGCAGUAGGGAAUCUUCCGCAAUGGACGAAAGUCUGACGGAGCAACGCCGCGUGAGUGAAAGAAGGUUUUCGGAUCGUAAAACUCUGUUGUCAGAGAAGAACAAGUCGGAGAGUAACUGCUCCAGCCUUGACGGUAUCUGACCAGAAAGCCACGGCUAACUACGUGCCAGCCGCCGC